RNAcentral lists this ribosomal RNA (497 nucleotides) under uncultured bacterium. RNAcentral's name for it is "partial 16S ribosomal RNA". It matches the Rfam family "Bacterial small subunit ribosomal RNA", at positions 28 to 507 of the family's 1533-position model. The record is from RNAcentral.
GAUGAACGCUGGCGGCGUGCCUAAUACAUGCAAGUCGAGCGAACGGACGAGAAGCUUGCUUCUCUGAUGUUAGCGGCGGACGGGUGAGUAACACGUGGAUAACCUACCUAUAAGACUGGGAUAACUUCGGGAAACCGGAGCUAAUACCGGAUAAUAAUUUAAACCGCAUGGUUCAAAAGUGAAAGACGGUCUUGCUGUCACUUAUAGAUGGAUCCGCUCUGCAUUAGCUAGUUGGUAAGGUAACGGCUUACCAAGGCAACGAUGCAUAGCCGACCUGAGAGGGUGAUCCGCCACACUGGGACUGAGACACGGUCCAGACUCCUACGGGAGGCAGCAGGAGGGAAUCUUCCGCAAUGGGCGGAAGCCUGACGGAGCAACGGCGCGUGAGUGAUGAAGGUCUUCGGAUCGUAAAGCUCUGUUAUUAGGGAAGAACAUAUGUGUAAGUAACUGUGCACAUCUUGACGGUACCUAAUCAGAAAGCCACGGCUAACUACGUG